AACGAACGCUGGCGGCAGGCUUAACACAUGCAAGUCGAACGGGUGUAGCAAUACAUCAGUGGCUAGACGGGUGAGUAACACGUGGGAACCUUCCUAGGGGUACGGAACAACUCUAGGGAAACUUGAGCUAAUACCGUAUACGUCCGUAAGGAGAAAGAUUCAUCGCCCCUAGACGGGCCCGCGUCGGAUUAGGUAGUUGGUGGGGUAACGGCCUACCAAGCCUACGAUCCGUAGCUGAUCUGAGAGGAGAUCAGCCACACUGGGACUGAGACGCGGCCCAGACUCCUACGGGAGGCAGCAGUGGGGAAUCUUGGACAGUGGGCGCAAGCCUGAUCCAGCCAUGCCGCGUGAGUGAAGAAGGCCUUAGGGUUGUAAAG
RNAcentral lists this ribosomal RNA (377 nucleotides) under uncultured bacterium. RNAcentral describes it as "bacterial SSU rRNA". It matches the Rfam family "Bacterial small subunit ribosomal RNA", at positions 29 to 430 of the family's 1533-position model. The record is from RNAcentral.